UUGAAACAAUUCAUCAAGUUG
This 21-nucleotide unclassified non-coding RNA is filed under the name Chlamydomonas reinhardtii. RNAcentral's name for it is "small RNA Cre_3863". Lineage: Eukaryota; Viridiplantae; Chlorophyta; Chlorophyceae; Chlamydomonadales; Chlamydomonadaceae. The record is from RNAcentral.